Long non-coding RNA from Mesocricetus auratus (golden hamster), 945 nucleotides. RefSeq lists it as uncharacterized. The record is from RefSeq and is a predicted model, not a curated record. Lineage: Eukaryota; Metazoa; Chordata; Mammalia; Rodentia; Cricetidae. The transcript is spliced from 3 exons.
UUAUACCUUUCUUCUGCUUCCCAAGUUCUGGGAUUAAAGAACUUGACAGGAAGACUUUAUUGCUGAAGAUACCAAAUACUUUCAUAUAGAACAUGGAGAAAUCCAACUGGUACUGACCUUUUCCAUAAUCCCUCUGCCAAGAGGAAACGAGAGAGGCAGAACGCACGGCUCAGUAUGACUCUCAGUGGAGUUGCUCUGUGUUCUGACUGACACAGAGUCCUGAAGCCUCCUGCUUGGCUUCUUCCACACAGCACAUCCUUUCGUACCAGUAGGAACAUGUGGACUCGCUCUUCAAACGUGGACCUGAACCAGCUGCUUCCUGUGGGAUUCUGUCACGCUUUCCCCUGGGCUUGUUAUGUUCUUUCUUUUCUGCUAAUUUGUUUCCUAGUUUGAGGUCCUGAAUAAUGGCUGAAUCUGGUUGGAAUGCAUCUUUUUAAGCUCUUUACAGUCUCCAGCCAAAUGUUGCAGGUUAAGAAGUUUGUGCACCAGGUCUGGUGAUGCAGGCCAGCAAUCCCUGCUGCUCGGGAGGCUGAAUUUGGAGGAUCGUGAUAUCAGUCAUCCCAAGCAACUUGUGAAACCCUUGCCUCAAAAUAAAACCUAAAAGUGGGCUGAUAUUAUAGCUGAGUGGUAGGAGUCAAUGCCCAGGGUGGGCAAAAGCUUAGGUUCAAUAUCUGGUACUGGGGAAAAUAAUUUUGGGCUUCAAAUAAGGGCAACGUCAAUCCCAAUUGACUAAGGCUAAGAAGGAGACUGCUUUGCAGCUAAGUGGGCUGGACAAAGGUUUAAUUGUUACACAAACACAGUGGCCAGGACCUGGGUGAGAAAACUGGGGUCUGUGCUAAGGAAGAAAGGGAGCCUGGAAAUGAGGCACAGCCAACAGCUCGGAUGCACAGCCACUUAUAAACUUCCAAGUGGACAGAUGGAUGACAAAAUAAAAAAUUUCUUUUA